RNAcentral lists this ribosomal RNA (329 nucleotides) under uncultured eukaryote. RNAcentral's name for it is "partial 18S ribosomal RNA". It matches the Rfam family "Eukaryotic small subunit ribosomal RNA", at positions 1470 to 1796 of the family's 1831-position model. The record is from RNAcentral.
CCCUUAGAUGUUCUGGGCCGCACGCGCGCUACACUGAUGCAUUCAACGAGUCUAAAACCUGCUCUGAUAGGGGUGGGUAAUCUUUUGAAUGUGCAUCGUGAUUGGGAUAGAUGAUUGCAAUUUUUCAUCUUCAACGAGGAAUGCCUAGUAAACGCAAGUCAUCAGCUUGCAUUGAUUACGUCCCUGCCCUUUGUGCACACCGCCCGUCGCUCCUACCGAUUGAAUGAUCCGAUGAAUAUCAUGGAUUGAGGAUUAUAGCAGGUUCGCCUGUCUUGAUCUUCGAGAAGUGAAGUAAAUCUUAUCAUUUAGAGGAAGGAGAAGUCGUAACA